RNAcentral lists this ribosomal RNA (374 nucleotides) under uncultured Bacteroidales bacterium. RNAcentral describes it as "bacterial SSU rRNA". It matches the Rfam family "Bacterial small subunit ribosomal RNA", at positions 22 to 395 of the family's 1533-position model. The record is from RNAcentral. Lineage: Bacteria; Pseudomonadati; Bacteroidota; Bacteroidia; Bacteroidales.
GCUCAGGAUGAACGCUAGCUACAGGCUUAACACAUGCAAGUCGAGGGGUAGCAGGGUAGCAAUACCGCUGACGACCGGCGCACGGGUGAGUAACACGUAUCCAACCUUCCCAUGACUCAGGGAUAGCCUUUCGAAAGAAAGAUUAAUACCUGAUAGUACUUAUUAAAGGCAUCUUUGAUAAGUUAAAGAUUUAUCGGUUAUGGAUGGGGAUGCGUUCCAUUAGAUAGUUGGUGAGGUAACGGCUCACCAAGUCUUCGAUGGAUAGGGGUUCUGAGAGGAAGGUCCCCCACAUUGGUACUGAGACACGGACCAAACUCCUACGGGAGGCAGCAGUGAGGAAUAUUGGUCAAUGGGCGAGAGCCUGAACCAGCCAA